AUUCAUUUAUCUCUGCCACCG
Molecule: non-coding RNA, 21 nt
Filed under: Arabidopsis thaliana (thale cress)
Lineage: Eukaryota; Viridiplantae; Streptophyta; Magnoliopsida; Brassicales; Brassicaceae
Source: RNAcentral